Bombina bombina (fire-bellied toad) is the source of this 301-nucleotide long non-coding RNA. RefSeq lists it as uncharacterized. The transcript is spliced from 3 exons. Lineage: Eukaryota; Metazoa; Chordata; Amphibia; Anura; Bombinatoridae. The record is from RefSeq and is a predicted model, not a curated record.
CCGGGACAGAAAUGGACGUGCAGUGGUGAUAAUCAGUACAAGGAACACAGCCUGGCUAAACCCUAAUUGUACAUCUGCAGAGCUGGGGCGCCUAUUCCUGUAUUUCUACAGCAUUCCAAAGAAGGAACGCCGUGCAUUAGGGCUGACUCUGCUUGUGGAUGCGCGCCGAUGCUCUCCGGUUCCUGCCUUGUUUAAAGCCUUUCAUAUCGUGCAGGCUGCUGUACCCAACUGCAUCCAUGGAGUUUUGCUGUUGGUGGAAAAAGAUCUGGUGUUAUCAGGGGAGAAGCUUCACGGAGUGCAG